GUUGUAUAGUUAAGUGACUAAGCGUACAAGGUGGAUGCCUUGGCAAUCAGAGGCGAAGAAGGACGUGCUAAUCUGCGAAAAGCUUGGAUGAGUCGAUAAGAGGCGUUUAAUCCAAGAUGUCCGAAUGGGGAAACCCAGUAGAUGAAGAAUCUACUAUCACUUACUGAAUCCAUAGGUAAGUGAGGCAAACCGGGAGAACUGAAACAUCUAAGUACCCCGAGGAAAAGAAAUCAACCGAGAUUUCGUUAGUAGCGGCGAGCGAACGCGAAGGAGCCUGUUAGUGAUAAUGACAGAGACAGAGGAACAAGCUGGGAAGCUUGGCGAUACAGGGUGAUAGCCCCGUACUCGAAGUCCAGGUCAUGGUACUAAGCUAACGACAAGUAGGGCGGGACACGUGAUAUCCUGUUUGAAGAAGGGGGGACCAUCCUCCAAGG
Molecule: ribosomal RNA, 434 nt
Filed under: Parahaemophilus parainfluenzae
Lineage: Bacteria; Pseudomonadati; Pseudomonadota; Gammaproteobacteria; Pasteurellales; Pasteurellaceae
Description: Haemophilus parainfluenzae bacterial LSU rRNA
Rfam family: Bacterial large subunit ribosomal RNA
Source: RNAcentral